Molecule: ribosomal RNA, 253 nt
Filed under: uncultured bacterium
Lineage: Bacteria
Description: partial 16S ribosomal RNA
Rfam family: Bacterial small subunit ribosomal RNA
Source: RNAcentral
UACGAAGGGGGCUAGCGUUGUUCGGAAUUACUGGGCGUAAAGCGUAUGCAGGCGGACUUUUAAGUCGGGGGUGAAAUCCCGAGGCUCAACCUCGGAACUGCCUUCGAUACUGGAAGUCUUGAGUCCGGGAGAGGUGAGUGGAACUCCGAGUGUAGAGGUGAAAUUCGUAGAUAUUCGGAAGAACACCAGUGGCGAAGGCGGCUCACUGGCCCGGUACUGACGCUGAGGAGCGAAAGCAUGGGGAGCGAACAGG